GGGGUAAUAGUUUAAUUGGUAAAACGAUUGCUUUGCAAGCAUUUAAUCCGUGUUCAAUUCACGGUUACUCCA
This 72-nucleotide transfer RNA is filed under the name Ogataea polymorpha. RNAcentral describes it as "tRNA-Ala". It matches the Rfam family "tRNA". Rfam says of the family: Transfer RNA (tRNA) molecules are approximately 80 nucleotides in length. Their secondary structure includes four short double-helical elements and three loops (D, anti-codon, and T loops). The record is from RNAcentral. Lineage: Eukaryota; Fungi; Ascomycota; Pichiomycetes; Pichiales; Pichiaceae.